This 61-nucleotide transfer RNA is filed under the name Abrus daozhenensis. Its description in RNAcentral is "tRNA-Ala". Lineage: Eukaryota; Metazoa; Arthropoda; Insecta; Hemiptera; Cicadellidae. The record is from RNAcentral.
AGGAUUAUAGUUAACAAUAACAUUCAGUUUGCAAAUGAAAAGUAUCUAAGGAUUAAUCUUU